GACGAACGCUGGCGGCGUGCUUAACACAUGCAAGUCGAACGGAAAGGCCCUGCUUUUGUGGGGUGCUCGAGUGGCGAACGGGUGAGUAUCACGUGAGUAACCUGCCCUUGACUUUGGGGUAACUUCAGGAAACUGGGGCUAUUACCGGAUAGGAGCUCCUGCUGCAUGGUGGGGGUUGGAAAGUUUCGGCGGUUGGGGAUGGACUCGCGGCUUAUCAGCUUGUUGGUGGGGUAGUGGCAUACCAAGGCUUUGACGGGUAGCCGGCCUGAGAGGGUGACCGGCCACAUUGGGACUGAGAUACGGCCCAGACUCCUACGGGAGGCAGCAGUGGGGAAUAGUGCACAAUGGGCGGAAGCCUGAUGCAGCAACGCCGCGUGCGGGAUGACGGCCUUCGGGUUGUAAACCGCUUUCGCCUGUGACGAAGCGUGAGUGACGGUAAUGGGUAAAGAAGCACCGGCUAACUACGUG
This 468-nucleotide ribosomal RNA is filed under the name uncultured bacterium. Its description in RNAcentral is "partial 16S ribosomal RNA". It matches the Rfam family "Bacterial small subunit ribosomal RNA", at positions 28 to 507 of the family's 1533-position model. The record is from RNAcentral.